Molecule: non-coding RNA, 20 nt
Filed under: Callorhinchus milii (elephant shark)
Lineage: Eukaryota; Metazoa; Chordata; Chondrichthyes; Chimaeriformes; Callorhinchidae
Also listed under: 5 other names
Source: RNAcentral
UAUUGCACUUGUCCCGGCCU